RNAcentral lists this ribosomal RNA (429 nucleotides) under bacterium. RNAcentral describes it as "partial 16S ribosomal RNA". It matches the Rfam family "Bacterial small subunit ribosomal RNA", at positions 355 to 776 of the family's 1533-position model. The record is from RNAcentral.
UAGGGAAUCUUCGGCAAUGGGGGCAACCCUGACCGAGCAACGCCGCGUGAGUGAAGAAGGUUUUCGGAUCGUAAAGCUCUGUUGUAAGAGAAGAACGUGUGUGAGAGUGGAAAGUUCACACAGUGACGGUAACUUACCAGAAAGGGACGGCUAACUACGUGCCAGCAGCCGCGGUAAUACGUAGGUCCCGAGCGCUGUCCGGAUUUAUUGGGCGUAAAGCGAGCGCAGGCGGUUUAAUAAGUCUGAAGUUAAAGGCAGUGGCUUAACCAUUGUUCGCUUUGGAAACUGUUAAACUUGAGUGAAGAAGGGGGGAGUGGAAUUCCAUGUGUAACGGUAAAAUGCGUGGAUAUAUGGAGGAACACCGGUGGCGAAAGAAGCUCGCUGGUCUGUAACUGACGCUGAGGGUCGAAAGAGUGAGGAGCAAACAGG